GGCGGACGGGUGAGUAAUACUUAGGAAUCUGCCCAGUAGUGGGGGACAACUCGAGGAAACUCGAGCUAAUACCGCAUACGCCCUACGGGGGAAAGCGGGGGAUCUUCGGACCUCGCGCUAUUGGAUGAGCCUAAGUCGGAUUAGCUUGUUGGUGAGGUAAAGGCUCACCAAGGCGACGAUCCGUAGCUGGUCUGAGAGGACGAUCAGCCACACUGGGACUGAGACACGGCCCAG
Molecule: ribosomal RNA, 234 nt
Filed under: uncultured bacterium
Lineage: Bacteria
Description: partial 16S ribosomal RNA
Rfam family: Bacterial small subunit ribosomal RNA
Source: RNAcentral